Molecule: ribosomal RNA, 254 nt
Filed under: uncultured bacterium
Lineage: Bacteria
Description: partial 16S ribosomal RNA
Rfam family: Bacterial small subunit ribosomal RNA
Source: RNAcentral
AACGUAGGUUCCGAGCGUUAUCCGGAUUUACUGGGCGUAAAGCGCGUUCAGGCGGUUUGGCAAGUCGGGCAUGAAAUCUCUCGGCUCAACCGGGAGAGGUUGUCCGAUACUUCCAGACUUGAGGGCAGUAGAGGGUGGUGGAAUUCCGGGUGUAGUGGUGGAAUGCGUAGAGAUCAGGAAGAACACCCGUGGCGAAGGCGGCCCACUGGGCCGGUGCUGACGCUGGGGCGCGAAGGCGUGGGGAGCGAACGGGG